Molecule: ribosomal RNA, 378 nt
Filed under: uncultured archaeon
Lineage: Archaea
Description: bacterial SSU rRNA
Rfam family: Archaeal small subunit ribosomal RNA
Source: RNAcentral
CCGACGGUGAGAGACGAAAGCUGGGGGAGCAAACCGGAUUAGAUACCCGGGUAGUCCCAGCCGUAAACGAUGUGCGUUAGGUGUAUCGGUGACCACGAGUCACCGAGGUGCCGAAGAGAAAUCGUGAAACGUACCGCCUGGGAAGUACGGUCGCAAGGCUGAAACUUAAAGGAAUUGGCGGGGGAGCACCACAACAGGUGGAGCCUGCGGUCUAAUCGGACUCAACGCCGGGAAACUCACCAGAUAAGACAGCUGAAUGAUAGUCGGGCUGAAGACUCUACUUGACUAGCUGAGAGGAGGUGCAUGGCCGUCGUCAGUUCGUACUGUGAAGCAUCCUGUUAAGUCAGGCAACGAGCGAGACCCACGCCAACAGUUGCU